UACCAGCAUCCCGAGUGGUCGGGACGAUUAUUGGGCCUAAAGCAUCCGUAGCCGGUCCUACAAGUCUUCCGUUAAAUCCACCUGCUCAACAGAUGGGCUGCGGAAGAUACUAUAGGGCUAGGAGGCGGGAGAGGCAAGCGGUACUCAGUGGGUAGGGAUAAAAUCCUCUGAUCCAUUGAAGACCACCAGUGGCGAAGGCGGCUUGCCAGAACGCGCUCGACGGUGAGGGAUGAAAGCUGGGGGAGCAAACCGG
RNAcentral lists this ribosomal RNA (253 nucleotides) under uncultured bacterium. RNAcentral describes it as "partial 16S ribosomal RNA". It matches the Rfam family "Archaeal small subunit ribosomal RNA", at positions 474 to 727 of the family's 1478-position model. The record is from RNAcentral.